AUAGAGGCCUACCAUGGUGGUAACGGGUAACGGGGUGUUAGGGCACGACACCGGAGAGGGAGCCUGAGAAACGGCUACCACAUCCAAGGAUGGCAGCAGGCGCGCAAAUUACCCAAUCCCGACACGGGGAGGUAGUGACAAUAAAUAACAAUACGGGGUUCUUUAGGAUCUCGUAAUUGGAAUGAGUACAAUUUAAAUCUCUUAACGAGGAACAAUUGGAGGGCAAGUCUGGUGCCAGCAGCCGCGGUAAUUCCAGCUCCAAUAGCGUAUAUUAAAGUUGUUGCAGUUAAAAAGCUCGUAGUUGAAUUUCGGGGUUAGUAGGUUGGUCAUGCCUCUGGUAUGUACUGGUCUCACUGAUUCCUCCUUCCUUAUGAACCGUAAUGCCAUUAAUUUGGUGUUGCGGGGAAUUUGGACUGUUACUUUGAAAAAAUUAGAGUGUUUAAAGCAAGCUAACGCUUGAAUACAUUAGCAUGGAAUAAUGAAAUAGGACGUUCGAUCUUAUUUUGUUGGUUUCUAGGAUUGACGUAAUGAUUAAUAGGGAUAGUUGGGGGCAUUAGUAUUCAAUUGUCAGAGGUGAAAUUCUUGGAUUUAUUGAGGACUAACUACUGCGAAAGCAUUUGCCAAGGAUGUUUUCAUUAAUCAAGAACGAAAGUUAGGGGAUCGAAGACGAUCAGAUACCGUCGUAGUCUUAACCAUAAACUAUGCCGACUAGGGAUCGGA
RNAcentral lists this ribosomal RNA (720 nucleotides) under uncultured fungus. RNAcentral's name for it is "SSU rRNA". It matches the Rfam family "Eukaryotic small subunit ribosomal RNA", at positions 333 to 1057 of the family's 1831-position model. The record is from RNAcentral. Lineage: Eukaryota; Fungi.